UACUAGAGGACGGCGCAGAGCGCGGGCCAAAUUCCCGCAAACUGGUUGACAAGACGUCAGCUUGCUUCCACUACAGCGCCACUCCUCAUCUAUACAAUACAGGUAAUAAGUGUAACAAGAAGCAGUGAGAAAGAGUAUGUACACAGAGAUUUACCUCUUGUAAACCUACAAGAAAAGAAAAUUGAUCAACGUUUUUUUCUCAGAAAUGUUCUGAUAAAUUAAGGCACAAGCUUUUACUGACAUCUGGCCUUGGUGCAUUAAAUACGUGACAUGAAAGACAAUUACGUCUGUGCAGUUAAUCGUUGAGUCUGAUGUCUCAGCACUCAUCGUCUCAAAACUGAAUUUAUUUCAGCAAUCAAGGAAAACAAUACAGAUUGAAAGUUUGAAGUUUAAUAAAAACCAGCACUUCCACAAAGAUAAGCAAAGCGACUAUUCGAUCAAAGAAACCUAUCUAACUAAUAGCAAACAAAACAGAACGAACAUUCGAU
This is a long non-coding RNA of Plodia interpunctella (Indianmeal moth), 488 nucleotides long. RefSeq lists it as uncharacterized. The transcript is spliced from 3 exons. The record is from RefSeq and is a predicted model, not a curated record. NCBI's taxonomy places the organism in Eukaryota, Metazoa, Arthropoda, Insecta, Lepidoptera, Pyralidae.